Non-coding RNA from Pelobates cultripes (western spadefoot toad), 131 nucleotides. Lineage: Eukaryota; Metazoa; Chordata; Amphibia; Anura; Pelobatidae. The record is from the annotation of a GenBank genome assembly.
AACACACGCCGCAUGUAUAUGUAUGUAUGUAUGUACGUACAUAUGUAUGUGUAUAUAUAUAUAUAUAUAUAUAUAUAUAUAUAUACAUAUACAUAUAUACGCACACACAUACAUACACUGCUGUGUGUGUG